RNAcentral lists this ribosomal RNA (497 nucleotides) under uncultured bacterium. RNAcentral describes it as "partial 16S ribosomal RNA". It matches the Rfam family "Bacterial small subunit ribosomal RNA", at positions 28 to 507 of the family's 1533-position model. The record is from RNAcentral.
GAUGAACGCUGGCGGCGUGCCUAAUACAUGCAAGUCGAGCGAACAGACGAGGAGCUUGCUCCUCUGACGUUAGCGGCGGACGGGUGAGUAACACGUGGAUAACCUACCUAUAAGACUGGGAUAACUUCGGGAAACCGGAGCUAAUACCGGAUAAUAUAUUGAACCGCAUGGUUCAAUAGUGAAAGACGGUUUUGCUGUCACUUAUAGAUGGAUCCGCGCCGCAUUAGCUAGUUGGUAAGGUAACGGCUUACCAAGGCGACGAUGCGUAGCCGACCUGAGAGGGUGAUCGGCCACACUGGAACUGAGACACGGUCCAGACUCCUACGGGAGGCAGCAGUAGGGAAUCUUCCGCAAUGGGCGAAAGCUUGACGGAGCAACGCCGCGUGAGUGAUGAAGGUCUUCGGAUCGUCAAACUCUGUUAUUAGGGAAGAACAAAUGUGUAAGUAACUAUGCACGUCUUGACGGUACCUAAUCAGAAAGCCACGGCUAACUACGUG